UCGAGGAUCUUCGGCAAUGGGCGCAAGCCUGACCGAGCGACGCCGCGUGAGCGAUGAAGGCCUUCGGGUCGUAAAGCUCUGUCGCGGGGGAGAAAAGGGUUAAACCUUGAUCGACCCCGGGAGGAAGCACGGGCUAAGUUCGUGCCAGCAGCCGCGGUAAGACGAACCGUGCGAACGUUAUUCGGAAUCACUGGGCUUAAAGGGCGCGUAGGCGGGUCGGUAAGUCAGGGGUGAAAUCCCACGGCCCAACCGUGGAAGUGCCUCUGAUACUGCCGGCCUCGAGGGGGAUAGGGGCGUGCGGAACUCAGGGUGGAGCGGUGAAAUGCGUAGAUAUCCUGAGGAACACCGGUGGCGAAAGCGGCGCGCUGGAUCCCUUCUGACGCUGAGGCGCGAAAGCCAGGGGAGCAAACGGGAUUAGAUACCCCCGUAGUCC
Molecule: ribosomal RNA, 433 nt
Filed under: uncultured bacterium
Lineage: Bacteria
Description: bacterial SSU rRNA
Rfam family: Bacterial small subunit ribosomal RNA
Source: RNAcentral